CUACGGGGGGCUGCAGUGAGGAAUAUUGCACAAUGGGGGGAACCCUGAUGCAGCAACGCCGCGUGGAGGAUGACGCAUUUCGGUGUGUAAACUCCUUUCAUAUGUCAAGAAAAUGACGGUAGCAUAUGAAUAAGCACCGGCUAACUCCGUGCCAGCAGCCGCGGUAAUACGGAGGGGGCAAGCGUUACUCGGAAUCACUGGGCGUAAAGGACGCGUAGGCGGGUUGGAAAGUCAGGUGUGAAAUCCUACAGCUUAACUGUAGAACUGCACUUGAAACUUCUAAUCUAGAGUAUGGGAGGGGGAGAUGGAAUUAGUGGUGUAGGGGUAAAAUCCGUAGAUAUCACUAGGAAUACCUAAAGCGAAGGCGAUCUCCUGGAACAUUACUGACGCUAAGGCGUGAAAGCGUGGGGAGCAAACAGGAUUAGAUACCCUCGUAGUC
RNAcentral lists this ribosomal RNA (439 nucleotides) under uncultured bacterium. RNAcentral's name for it is "partial 16S ribosomal RNA". It matches the Rfam family "Bacterial small subunit ribosomal RNA", at positions 339 to 795 of the family's 1533-position model. The record is from RNAcentral.